GUCUUUUUGGGUAUAAUUUAAAGUCUAAUCUGCCCACUGAUAAAUAUUAAAGGGCUGCAGUAUAAUGACUGUACAAAGGUAGCAUAAUCAAUAGUUUUUUAAUUGGAAACUUGUAUGAAAGAUUUGAUGAAAUAUAAACUGUCUCUUAUUUAUUUUUAGAAGUUUAUUUUUUAGUUAAAAAGCUAAAUUAAUUUUAAAAGACGAGAAGACCCUAUAGAGUUUUAUAUUUAUUUUUAUUUUAAAAUUAUAUAAAAAUUUUUAUUAAGAUAAAAUUAAUUAUUAUAUUGGGGUGAUAGAAAAAUUAAAUUAACUUUUUUUAAAAAAUAAACAUAAAUAAAUGAUUAAAUGAUCCAUAAAUAAUGAUUAUAAGAAAAAAUUACCUUAGG
RNAcentral lists this ribosomal RNA (386 nucleotides) under Oeneis bore taygete (white-veined arctic butterfly). Its description in RNAcentral is "partial 16S ribosomal RNA". Lineage: Eukaryota; Metazoa; Arthropoda; Insecta; Lepidoptera; Nymphalidae. The record is from RNAcentral.